GGGUGCGAUCAUACCAG
RNAcentral lists this ribosomal RNA (17 nucleotides) under Platanus rzedowskii. Lineage: Eukaryota; Viridiplantae; Streptophyta; Magnoliopsida; Proteales; Platanaceae. The record is from RNAcentral.